This is a long non-coding RNA of Acanthochromis polyacanthus (spiny chromis), 401 nucleotides long. RefSeq lists it as uncharacterized. The record is from RefSeq and is a predicted model, not a curated record. The transcript has 3 exons. NCBI's taxonomy places the organism in Eukaryota, Metazoa, Chordata, Actinopteri, Pomacentridae.
ACCAGGUGGGAGACAGGUAAGGACCAGAUGAGAGACAGGUAAGGACCAGGUGGGAGACGGGUAAGGGUCAGGUGGGAGACAGGUAAAGGUCAGGUGGGAGACAGGUAAGGACCAGGUGGGAGACAGGUAACGACCAGGUGGGAGACAGGUAAGGACCAGGUGGGAGACAGGUAAGGACCAGAUGAGAGACAGGUAAGGACCAGGUGGGAGACGGGUAAGGGUCAGGUGGGAGACAGGUAAAGGUCAGGUGGGAGACAGGUAAGGACCAGGUGGGAGACAGGUAACGACCAGGUGGGAGACAGGUAAGGACCAGGUGGGAGACAGGUAAGGACCAGGUGAGACCACAUGAUGAACAGGAACCUUUCCCAGCAGUUCUCCCAGCAGAACAUCCUCAUGGUUCA